Molecule: long non-coding RNA, 879 nt
Organism: Diabrotica virgifera virgifera (western corn rootworm)
Lineage: Eukaryota; Metazoa; Arthropoda; Insecta; Coleoptera; Chrysomelidae
Exons: 2
Source: RefSeq, a predicted model, not a curated record
UUACAUGUACUAUCUUUGUGACUACAAUGUGUCACUUCCGGCUACAAGUUUUUAACCGGACGUGAUAUAAAGCCUGAAGUAUAAAUUUGUUCUUGUCUUGCCAAGGCGCGUCGAAUAAUAUAUUGCUUGCACUAUUCGGCGACAAUAAAACAGUUCUUGCAGUUGCAACUCUAGUGUAACGUUACAAACGUCACAUCUUUGAUAUUUUGUUUUUAAAUAAUUAUGUUACCUUAUUUUCUUUAAUAUUUCAUUAAUAAUUAUCUUCUUCUAUUUGGUUUACCAAUUUUCCCCUUUAAUAAAAAUCGGUUGGCGUCCAUUCUAUAAUAGGCAACCCUAUUUACAUUGUAUCUUCUCUCGUGUUCCAUGUUCGUUAUUUCAAAUUUCGGUACAAGGUUCGUUGUCAUGUCAUUUUAAUGACAAUGACAACCCCCAUAUCUCAUUCUCAAAAUGGAGGUGGAAAUGUUUUAAAAAGCAAAGCAGCUUCAAAAAUAAAUCAUUUUAUUUCAACAAAUCAUCUUCCUCUUGGGUUUUUGGGAAUAAAAGCACUUUCCUCCCUCCGGGAGCUGCAAGCAUCCUCAAAUCGCCGGCGAUAGAACAACGAGGACCAUGUCAUCAGGGCUGCAACCGCAUUACCAAGACUGCAACGACCAACAUCCGUAGGCCUGGUGGAAUACAACACCUACAACCCCAGAGCCUGUUGCAGAAUCAGCAGCAGUACCAUACGACAUCAAGAAGAUACCAUCAGCUACCAAAAGCCAUAAGUAUAAUCCAGAAUUGUUAGUUUUUAGCAAGAAUUUAAAUACAUUUGUUAAUGCAAUUUACUAAGUCAUUUUAUUUAUUAUAUCUUUAUGAACAAUAAACAUGAUUAGUUAAAAACUA